AAUCAAACUGAUGCAGAAAAAUCACCUUUAGAGACUUGUAAACAAAUUUUUGUCCAAUAUUUGAGCAUGCCGUUGAGUUUAGCAAAGAAAAAUGUGACAGAGACGCCAAAGAAACUUAAAGGGAGAAGAUCUGUGGUUAGUAUAGAAAAAAAAUGGAUAUUGAUACUGAAGAUACCCUAUAUGCAAUACCAGAAGUAGUUUUAACCAGGUGUAAAGUGGAUUCCAGACAAUUCCAAAGUCUGGAAUAUGGUUUUAUCGAAUCCUGGAAUGCUCACAUACAAAGUAUAGUCGAAGUUCAGAAAUU
Molecule: unclassified non-coding RNA, 304 nt
Filed under: Melitaea cinxia (Glanville fritillary)
Lineage: Eukaryota; Metazoa; Arthropoda; Insecta; Lepidoptera; Nymphalidae
Description: misc RNA ENSMCXG00005016028.1
Source: RNAcentral